RNAcentral lists this ribosomal RNA (755 nucleotides) under uncultured bacterium. RNAcentral describes it as "bacterial SSU rRNA". It matches the Rfam family "Bacterial small subunit ribosomal RNA", at positions 44 to 796 of the family's 1533-position model. The record is from RNAcentral.
AGGCCUAGUACAUGCAAGUCGGACGGGAUUGGGGAGCUUGCUCCCCAUGAGAGUGGCGCACGGGUGCGUAACACGUAUGUAACCUACCCAUAUCAGGGGGAUAGCCUCUCGAAAGAGAGAUUAAGCCCGCAUAAAAUCACAAGGUGGCAUCACCAAAUGAUCAAAUAUUUAUAGGAUAUGGAUGGGCAUGCGGAACAUUAGCUAGUUGGUAAGGUAACGGCUUACCAAGGCUACGAUGUUUAGGGGAUCUGAGAGGAUGACCCCCCACACUGGUACUGAGACACGGACCAGACUCCUACGGGAGGCAGCAGUAAGGAAUAUUGGUCAAUGGGCGCAAGCCUGAACCAGCCAUGCCGCGUGCAGGAAGACGGCCCUACGGGUUGUAAACUGCUUUUAUACGGGAAUAAACCUCACUACGUGUAGUGAGCUGAAUGUACUGUAAGAAUAAGGAUCGGCUAACUCCGUGCCAGCAGCCGCGGUAAUACGGAGGAUCCGAGCGUUAUCCGGAUUUAUUGGGUUUAAAGGGUGCGUAGGCGGCCUAUUAAGUCAGGGGUGAAAGACGGUAGCUUAACUAUCGCAGUGCCUUUGAUACUGAUAGGCUUGAAUAUACUUGAGGUAGGCGGAAUGUGACAAGUAGCGGUGAAAUGCAUAGAUAUGUCACAGAACACCAAUUGCGAAGGCAGCUUACUAAAGUAUGAUUGACGCUGAGGCACGAAAGCGUGGGGAUCAAACAGGAUUAGAUACCCUGGUAGUCC